AGAGCGCUUCCUUACCCUGGUAGCUCUGAGUGUCCAGUCUGUGCCCUUGCCUACCACACUUGAUGGGGAAACGGAGCAGCCUGGACUGCAAGCUGUACUGAAGACCCCACCCACACAGUGAGAGUUCCCUUUGGCCUGCACUUCGGGUUGGAUGCAUCCCGAGCUCUCAAUGCAUCGUGUGCUAAGGUUCCACCCUCCCCUGGGCUGGGAAGUAUGUCUUGGUCUUCUGUCUCCAGGGUGCUGGUGGCAGAGCCUGACAUGGAGUCAGUGCUCCAUAGAUGCUUGUUCAAGUUCCUAUUAACUGAGCAGGCUGGGCCUAACACCACUGCCUGCAAAGGCCUGGCAGGUGUAGGGACUCAUCGACCCGUCCCUGCUGCUCUUACAGAAAGGGGAGAGGGAGGUGGGUGGGAGUGGAUGGAGAGUUGCCCUUUUAUUAAGGAGGGCCAGGGGCUGUAAUAGGGGCCCCGGCAUAACUUAUCUCAGGAAACAGCAGGGGCCCCCUCCUCUGGGGCCCAUAGCCUGGCCUUACUUCUCUUCUCUCUUCUUUACAGUUUGAGACUUCGUCUAAGCCAGCACUAGGCUGCCAAAGACUUCAAAUUCCUCUACCUUCUACUCUAAUUCCAGCUCCUUGAUGAGGGCAAGAUUCUUGGCUGGGACAGAAUGACCAGCAUGGAAUUCUGGGAAACUCAGAACCGCACGUGCUGCAAAUGCAGGGAAGAAGAGCUGCUUGCCACUGCGCUCAGAAUACUUCUGAGGACGUGGAACUGUCCCACUGGUCUGGGUAAUUUCCCCCCUUCCUCCACAUCUCCACUGUAAACCAAGAGACAGCACGGCUAGCGAGUCCCAGCCCUGCAGCGAGAGCUCUACCUGGCUCCUGUUCAUGCCCAAGGUAUUCACUUAUUCAACAGCCACGCGGGAAGCCACCACUUCAGAACACUGACUGUGUGGAGGGGGACACGAAGCCAGAUCCUCAGCUGCCUGGUCCUGGCUUUCCCUGCCUGAUCCAGGAGUCUCCUGAGGCAGGAAGUUCUUUGAGGGGAACUGAUAGCUCUUCAGAAGCCUGAUACAAAACUGUGCUCUGGGA
Molecule: long non-coding RNA, 1084 nt
Organism: Sapajus apella (tufted capuchin)
Lineage: Eukaryota; Metazoa; Chordata; Mammalia; Primates; Cebidae
Exons: 3
Source: RefSeq, a predicted model, not a curated record